AAAUAGGCCCCUUAAUCAAUCCCUAUCAUUAUAAGCAUUUUUCUAACCCUUGUUUCCUAAUCUGCUUCUUCAAAUGCUCCUCCUCUUUGUGAUAUCUACUCCGCCGCCUGCAUGUUCUUCCCUUUUGUGAACUCUCAUUUCCUUCGUCUCCUGUUAUGGGCAAUCAGUGGUUUUUAAUGGUGAGUGGUCCGGUUUAAAGUUUCAGCUGGAUUGUACGAGGUGCUUAGUCAAUAGCAAGUUUGUUAAUCUCGAAGGUUCACCAUUGAAGGUCGAGGUGGAAAGGAAUUGACGGCUCUUGGGUUGUAUCUCCGAUUGGUGCAUAAACAUUGCUGCUCUUUGGAUUCAAAUCUGACCAUAUAUCCCUCAACUUCUGCUGGUGGCCCUUUUUAUGAUUGAAAAGGCGUUGCAGGAAUUGGACUAAGAAGGGGUUCUAAUGAAGACUCGAUAUAUGAGUUUAUUAUGAAAAAUAAUGACAAUUUGCCAAGGAUUCAUACGACAAUGCUGAAACAUCAUCUAGAGAAGAUAUGUGAAAGGGGGAAAUUGUUAUGAUUGAUGGAGACGGUUUUUGCUUCCUGGAGACAACGAAAACUCUAAUCCAAAGAGAAGGAAAGAGCAAGAGAAGGGGGAGUUACACAAAAGAAGCAACACCAAAAGGAAAAGGAGGAGCAUCCUUGACAUGUGGUGCAUUUGGAGCAACCAAAAAUACAGGGUCAUGGGAGACUUGCUAAGAACAAGGAGACAAAAAAGGUGAUGGUACAACAAAAGCAUUGGUUUGUUUGUUGCCAAAGAUGAAAUUGUACCAUCAUCUAUUUUUGCCCAAUCCUCCUUGUACUAAGAAAGCCUCCCACGACCUUGUUUGUGAAAAGGAUAAAUGGAUAUUGACUAUAACUAUGUUAGCAACUAGAAGUAUUGUAUAUCUAUCUCUAUGGAUAUUGAGGAGAUUGUUAUGUUCCUUACUUGAAUAUGUUUAUCUUAAAGUCGGGUCCUUGUUGAUGUAGAAUCGUUGAAUUAACCUAUGAGUUAAUUCGAGUUGCCUAAUGCAUACGAAAUGAAAUUCUUUCUAAA
Long non-coding RNA from Solanum lycopersicum (tomato), 1065 nucleotides. RefSeq lists it as uncharacterized. Lineage: Eukaryota; Viridiplantae; Streptophyta; Magnoliopsida; Solanales; Solanaceae. The record is from RefSeq and is a predicted model, not a curated record.